UACGUAGGGUGCAAGCGUUAAUCGGAAUUACUGGGCGUAAAGCGUGCGCAGGCGGUUUUGCAAGUCUGAUGUGAAAUCCCCGGGCUUAACCUGGGAACUGCAUUGGAGACUGCAAGGCUAGAGUGCGUCAGAGGGGGGUAGAAUUCCACGUGUAGCAGUGAAAUGCGUAGAGAUGUGGAGGAAUACCGAUGGCGAAGGCAGCCCCCUGGGAUGACACUGACGCUCAUGCACGAAAGCGUGGGGAGCAAACAGG
Molecule: ribosomal RNA, 253 nt
Filed under: uncultured bacterium
Lineage: Bacteria
Description: partial 16S ribosomal RNA
Rfam family: Bacterial small subunit ribosomal RNA
Source: RNAcentral